UGGGGGGCUCUCAGGAAGCAAAAUGCCAUUAUCAAGAUUGAAGUGGAGCUGAGCAGCUCCUGCAGCCUCCCAGAAGACAUUCAGGGCUUCUGGAAUGAAAAGAGAAGAAAAAACAGCGCAAAUAUGAAGAGAUUUGUUUAUAGGCUCUCCCUGAAGGAGUCAGUAUUUACAGCAAUGUAUGUGUGAGAGAAAGGCAGUAUAAAUGGUAAGCACUUGGUUCAUGAGUGGCUGGAUGUGCAGAGCGGCUGAGCCCUGCAAGCAAAACGAGGAGGCAGCUCUCAGAGCAGCAUUUCCUCGUGCUGCUUGUC
Agelaius phoeniceus (red-winged blackbird) is the source of this 308-nucleotide non-coding RNA. NCBI's taxonomy places the organism in Eukaryota, Metazoa, Chordata, Aves, Passeriformes, Icteridae. The record is from RefSeq and is a predicted model, not a curated record.